GUUCUGAGGGGUCAUUCUAGGAAAUCGGGAGAGGCUGGGAGUACCUGGGAGUGUUCCAUCAAGAAAGUGGACAGGACAGGACUUCCCUGAUGGUGCAGUGGCACGAUUCCAGGCUUCCAGUGCAUUCUAUCAUGGCUGUGUGCUGAGUCACUUCAGUCGAGUCCAGUUCUUUGCGACUCUAUGGACCAUAGCCCGCCAGACUCCUCUGUCCGUGGGAUUCUCCAGGCAAGUAUACUGGAGUGGGUUGCCACACCCUCCUCCAAGGGAUCUUCCUGGCCCUGGGACAGAACCUGUGCUUCUUACAUCUCCUGCAUUGACAGUUCAACCAGGGAAGUCUCAUCAGUCGUGAUACUGUUUGCUUGGAAAUCUACUUCUGUUUAGUGUGGGACAAAAAGACUCAGGCCUCCACCCUUAAGCUCAGCGCCUCUAAAAAUGAGAGUCAAGUUCAUUGCCAAUGUCAGCCCAGGGUGCUGAAUGCCAUUAUACCGGAAGCACAAGACAUCAUGGGAACACACAGAAGGGGACCCCAUCCAACUCAAGGAGUUAAGCAAUGUUUACUGUGUUGGUAACUGAGGAGAAAGACAUUCCUUGGAGAAGGAAAGGACUUUGUGGACAACAUUUAAAUGAAAGAAAGAGGAAGAGGGCAGAUACAUAACUGGGGGGAACACAGAGGCAUGUGGGGUCACAGAAGCUCAAGGAGAAGACUUAUAAGAAUCAGAGAAAUGGGGAUGUCCCUGGCGGUCCAGUGAUUAAGACUGGACACUUCUACUGCAGGGUGCACGGAUCCCAUCCCUGGAGGAUCAAAGAUCCCUCAUGCUAAGCGGUGUAGAAGGAAGGAAGGAGAGCGCGGUUGAGUCACGACAGAACUGAAAGCUGCCCAUUGGAUACAGUCAUUAGAAAGUCAUAGAUGGUCUUAUAGGGGAGCCAGCUCAGUGACAGGCUACAAGUUAAACUGGUCAGGCAAACUCAGGUUAACAAGUGGUGAUAAAGGUGACUGAGGCUAACAGUACGGGAAUUGAGUUUGACAGACCCGGUGUCCAUCCCAGGACUUGCUAAAUCUCUAUACCUCAAUUUUCAACAUAUAAAAUGAGAAUGUGUAAAAUAAGAACACAUAAAAUGGAAUGCAGGAGACAUAGGAGACGCGGUUAGAACCCUGGGUCGGGAAGAUCCCCUGGAAAAGGGCUUGGCAACCCACUCCAGUAUUCUUGCCUGGAGAAUCCCCUGGAUAGAGGAGCCUGGCGGGCUACAGCCCAUAGGUCGCAAAGAGUCGGACACAUCUGAAGCAACUGAGCACACGGUACAAAACGAGACUAGCACCACUAGCUUAUCAACUUUAGUGGUUGAUGAUUAAACGCGAUGACGGCGGAAUACGCAACGCACGGUGGGCGCAUUAACUCUAUUCUGUCAAUGAGCAGACGAGGUUGGGUGAUGACAGCCAAGAUCUGGCGAGCUGUGGCUCCGGCGGCCCGACAGAACGAUCUAAGAACAGCAACGCAGUAGGCUUGGGGAGGGGUGAAGGCACGCUACGGUGAAGUCACUCCCUUUGCAAAGAACACUCCCAUCGCAAGGUGAACCGGAAUGAAAGGUCUAUCUUCUACUCAGUCCCAGGCCCGUAAUGUCUUUCCCUUGCCUACGCAGCCCCUCCGAAUGGUACGGCCCGCACGACUUCCCUCCCGCCCUCCUCGCCCG
This is a long non-coding RNA of Bos taurus (domestic cattle), 1689 nucleotides long. Lineage: Eukaryota; Metazoa; Chordata; Mammalia; Artiodactyla; Bovidae. The record is from Ensembl.